CGGGACGGGUGAGUAACGCGUGGGUAACCUGCCUCAUACAGGGGGAUAACAGUUAGAAAUGACUGCUAAUACCGCAUAAGCACACAGUACCGCAUGGUACAGUGUGAAAAACUCUGGUGGUAUGAGAUGGACCCGCGUCUGAUUAGCUGGUUGGCGGGGUAACGGCCCACCAAGGCGACGAUCAGUAGCCGACCUGAGAGGGUGACCGGCCACAUUGGGACUGAGACACGGCCCAA
RNAcentral lists this ribosomal RNA (236 nucleotides) under uncultured bacterium. RNAcentral describes it as "partial 16S ribosomal RNA". It matches the Rfam family "Bacterial small subunit ribosomal RNA", at positions 100 to 334 of the family's 1533-position model. The record is from RNAcentral.